CAUUGCCCAAGUUCGGAGCGGGAUGAAGAGAGCUUGCUCUCUGAUUCAGCGGCGGACGGGUGAGUAAUGCCUAGGAAUCUGCCUGGUAGUGGGGGACAACGUUUCGAAAGGAACGCUAAUACCGCAUACGUCCUACGGGAGAAAGCAGGGGACCUUCGGGCCUUGCGCUAUCAGAUGAGCCUAGGUCGGAUUAGCUAGUUGGUGGGGUAAUGGCUCACCAAGGCGACGAUCCGUAACUGGUCUGAGAGGAUGAUCAGUCACACUGGAACUGAGACACGGUCCAGACUCCUACGGGAGGCAGCAGUGGGGAAUAUUGGACAAUGGGCGAAAGCCUGAUCCAGCCAUGCCGCGUGUGUGAAGAAGGUCUUCGGAUUGUAAAGCACUUUAAGUUGGGAGGAAGGGUUGUAGAUUAAUACUCUGCAAUUUUGACGUUACCGACAGAAUAAGCACCGGCUAACUCUGUGCCAGCAGCCGCGGUAAUACAGAGGGUGCAAGCGUUAAUCGGAAUUACUGGGCGUAAAGCGCGCGUAGGUGGUUUGUUAAGUUGGAUGUGAAAUCCCCGGGCUCAACCUGGGAACUGCAUUCAAAACUGACAAGCUAGAGUAUGGUAG
Molecule: ribosomal RNA, 611 nt
Filed under: Pseudomonas vancouverensis
Lineage: Bacteria; Pseudomonadati; Pseudomonadota; Gammaproteobacteria; Pseudomonadales; Pseudomonadaceae
Description: bacterial SSU rRNA
Rfam family: Bacterial small subunit ribosomal RNA
Source: RNAcentral